CUCAUCUCUCUGCCUGUCUCUCUGUCUCUGUGCCUGUCCCUUCAUCUCUCUUGACCUCAGUCUGCCUGCCUGUCUGGCUGCCUGUCCGUCUCUGGUCAUCUGUUCAUCUGUCUUCCAGGCUCUCAGGGCUGUACAGCCUACGAUGUCGUCAUCAACAAUGAGUUCUUUCAGAAAACCCAGAAGGACGCCCUUUUCCUGCAGUUCAUGAUCGCGAUUGCCUUCGAGGGACUG
This is a non-coding RNA of Lepisosteus oculatus (spotted gar), 231 nucleotides long. Lineage: Eukaryota; Metazoa; Chordata; Actinopteri; Semionotiformes; Lepisosteidae. The record is from RefSeq and is a predicted model, not a curated record.